This 148-nucleotide small RNA is filed under the name Chrysemys picta bellii (western painted turtle). Its description in RNAcentral is "TUC338 (ENSCPBG00000010892.1)". Lineage: Eukaryota; Metazoa; Chordata; Testudines; Emydidae. The record is from RNAcentral.
CCUGAAGUCCUGUAUUUAUCCAAAGAACAGGUACAGCACAGGCAGUUGCAGAGGAAACGUCUCCCCUUCUCCAUCCCAUGUAUUCACCAUUAAUAUGCUUCUACCCUAAUCUGUAGGGACCAUUUCUAUGAGCAAGAGUGAAUUCAGG